This 21-nucleotide unclassified non-coding RNA is filed under the name Mus musculus (house mouse). RNAcentral describes it as "oocyte_clustered_small_RNA10707". Lineage: Eukaryota; Metazoa; Chordata; Mammalia; Rodentia; Muridae. The record is from RNAcentral.
UACAUCGCCACAGACUCUGAG